GGGGUGAAGUCACCAGGAGGCCGGGGCACACUGUGGCCGAGCCAGGCCCGAGCUCAGGUUUCCUGACUCGGGCUCAGAGCGUGCUCCCAGCCCUGGGGCCACUCUGCUCCCAGCUCAGAACAGCUGUCGUUCCCUUUAGCUUCUAAACCCGCAGAGGGUACAGGCAGGAUCUUCCGAGGGGAUUGACGUCCCCACGGCAGUUAGCACGGCCUGUGGGUGGAGCUAUUGCCGAGAACGCUUGAGCCUUUGCCGGAAGCUUCGGACUUGGGUUUUGAAAGUCUACUUGCCGUGGCCUGUGAGAGUUUGUCCCAGCUCCUUUUUUGUCACUCCUCUGUGACCGCGCUCAGCCAGCAGGGAGGCCAGAGGUGCGCAUUUUGGACCACUUUGGAAUCCUUCCUCCAAACACCAUCUGGUGGCUCACCCUCACAGCUGAGAGAGCAUGCAUGAUGGGGAGGAGCAGAGAGAGAGAGAAGGUUCAUGCGGCUCUGUCAGUACAGAGUCCGACUUGCGGCUCAAACACAGGAACUGUGAGAUCAUGACCUGAGCGGAAAUCAAGAGUUGGACGCCCAACCAACCGAGCCACCCAGGCGCCCCAAAACCAUACUCUUUAGAUGGUAAAAGGACAAAGAGAAACAAUGCUCACAUUCCCAUGAAGUGGAAGAGAGAGGCUGUGCGCAGCCAUGGGAGCACCAGUCCGCAGGCCGUGAAAAGAACAAGUGCACAGGCCCUAAGUCUGGAAUGUGCUUGGCGGGACUGCAGAACAAGGAGGCCAGCAUUAUCCAGUCAGAGUGCAACAAGGGGAGAGGACGAGCACACGAGACGAGAGGUAACCAAGGACCGACCACGGAAGUCCCACACGCCCAGGCGAGGAACUUUGGAUUUUAUUCCGAGAGUGACAAGAGGCCGCUGGAAGCCUGAGAGCAGGAAGUGCUAUGAUUCGAUUUAUAGUUUGGAAGAAAGAGACCGACUGUUCUAUGGAGAAGGGAAGUAGGGAAGCCGAAGCAGGGAUUCCUGUUACUGUGGUGUCUGGGCACAAGAUAAAGGUGGCAUGGACCAGGGCGGGGGUGAUGGGGGCACGCAGGGUGUCGGAGUCAGAGCUGGUAGAUUUUUAUAGGGAGAACCCAGACCGGAUUUGUGGAUGGAUUUGUGGAUGGACUGCAUGGAGAGUAAGCAGAAAAGGUCAAUAAUGUGUAUGAUAUAUUUUUUUAAUUAGGAUACACAAUUCUAUAGACAGUAUGGUCAAAACUCUUCAAAAUGUGUUCUUGGGGCACCUGGCUGGCUCCGUUGGUGGGGCAUGUGACACUUGAUCUCUGGGUUGUGAAUUCUGGCCCCAUGUUGGGUGUAGAGAGUCCUUAAAAAUAAAAUCUUUAGGGGCGCCUGAGUGGUUCAGCCGGCCAAGUGUCCGACUCUAGGUUUUAGCUCAGGUGAUGAUCUCACGGUUUGUGGGUUUGAGCCCUGCCUUGGGCUCUGUGCUGAUGGCAUGGAGCGUUCUUGGGAUUCUGUCCCUCCAUCUCUGCCUCUCCCCUGUUCAUGCGCACUCUCAUUCUCAAAAUAAAUAAAUAAACAUUAACAAAAUUAAAAUAAAAUAAGAUCUUAA
Neofelis nebulosa (Clouded leopard) is the source of this 1597-nucleotide long non-coding RNA. RefSeq lists it as uncharacterized. Lineage: Eukaryota; Metazoa; Chordata; Mammalia; Carnivora; Felidae. The record is from RefSeq and is a predicted model, not a curated record. The transcript is spliced from 3 exons.